RNAcentral lists this transfer RNA (21 nucleotides) under Tuxentius margaritaceus. RNAcentral's name for it is "partial tRNA-Leu". Lineage: Eukaryota; Metazoa; Arthropoda; Insecta; Lepidoptera; Lycaenidae. The record is from RNAcentral.
AUAUAUAAUUAAUUAUAUACA